RNAcentral lists this ribosomal RNA (433 nucleotides) under uncultured bacterium. Its description in RNAcentral is "partial 16S ribosomal RNA". It matches the Rfam family "Bacterial small subunit ribosomal RNA", at positions 29 to 507 of the family's 1533-position model. The record is from RNAcentral.
AACGAACGCUGGCGGCAUGCCUAACACAUGCAAGUCGAACGAGACCUUCGGGUCUAGUGGCGCACGGGUGCGUAACGCGUGGGAAUCUGCCCUUGGGUUCGGAAUAACAGUUGGAAACGACUGCUAAUACCGGAUGAUGACGUAAGUCCAAAGAUUUAUCGCCCAAGGAUGAGCCCGCGUAGGAUUAGCUAAUUGGUGAGGUAAAGGCUCACCAAGGCGACGAUCCUUAGCUGGUCUGAGAGGAUGAUCAGCCACACUGGGACUGAGACACGGCCCAGACUCCUACGGGAGGCAGCAGUGGGGAAUAUUGGACAAUGGGCGAAAGCCUGAUCCAGCAAUGCCGCGUGAGUGAUGAAGGCCUUAGGGUUGUAAAGCUCUUUUACCCGGGAUGAUAAUGACAGUACCGGGAGAAUAAGCUCCGGCUAACUCCGUG